RNAcentral lists this ribosomal RNA (525 nucleotides) under Oxyporhamphus micropterus (bigwing halfbeak). Its description in RNAcentral is "partial 16S ribosomal RNA". It matches the Rfam family "Bacterial large subunit ribosomal RNA", at positions 1923 to 2597 of the family's 2925-position model. The record is from RNAcentral. Lineage: Eukaryota; Metazoa; Chordata; Actinopteri; Beloniformes; Hemiramphidae.
UUUAACGGCCGCGGUAUCUUAACCGUGCGAAGGUAGCGCAAUCACUUGUUUCUUAAAUGGAGACCUGUAUGAAUGGCAUUACGAGGGCCAAACUGUCUCCUUCCCCUAGUCAAUGAAAUUGAUCUCCCCGUGCAGAAGCGGGGAUAAAAACAUAAGACGAGAAGACCCUUUGGAGCUUAAGACUACAGACAGACCAUGCUAAUAAGAUCAAACAAAAGAUUACAAGCCAAUUGAGUAACACUGAUCCAAUGUCUUUGGUUGGGGCGACCGAGGGGAAAUGCAAAACCCCCAUGUGGAGCAGGAGAACUUUCUCCCACAACCCAGAUCGACAGAUCUAAGUACCAGAAAUUCUGACCAAAAAGAUCCGGCAAAGCCGAUCAACGGACCGAGUUACCCUAGGGAUAACAGCGCAAUCCCCUUUUAGAGCCCAUAUCGACAAGGGGGUUUACGACCUCGAUGUUGGAUCAGGACAUCCUAAUGGUGCAGCCGCUAUUAAGGGUUCGUUUGUUCAACGAUUAAAGUCCU